Non-coding RNA from Rattus norvegicus (Norway rat), 5048 nucleotides. The record is from RefSeq and is a predicted model, not a curated record. Lineage: Eukaryota; Metazoa; Chordata; Mammalia; Rodentia; Muridae.
AGCCUGCGCUCUAGGCUAGUUUUGAAGACCGUUUUAUAAAAUGACAUUUAAUAGGUGCUAGUUAAGAUCUUUUAUUGUUGCUUGGCGAUGGUGGCACACGCUUUUAACCCUAGCACUCUGGAGGCAGAGGCAGGUGGAUCUCUCUAAGUUUGAGGCCAGCCUGGUCUACAGAGAAAGUUAUGGACAGCCAGGGCUACACAGAAAAACCCUGUCUCAAAAAGCAAAUGAACAAACAAACAAAGCGACAUUGGCUUUGAGGUUCCUGUGGUACAUCAUUAAGUUAGGUUAGUUCUAGUGAUGAAGACUCCACAAAUAGGAGUUUUAUCAGAAGAGUGGGCAAAAGGAAGAUGGCUGGGCGGGGACAGCCGGGCAGUGAGCGUUUGUCCCACCCCAGCAUCAAUACACUGGGGAUUUCCUUAGGCUGGGGGACCUUGGGCUGCAGGGAACUGACCAUAAUCAUAUGUGCCCUGUGACUGUCCAAGGACCUGAGUUGGAUGUGGCAACCAUCACUGGGAAAUGAGUUUACAUCAUGGCUCGUGGGUCUUUAAAAUUAGAUUCAGAGGUGGGCCUUUUCCCCUGAGAGGCUGUGCCCUCAAGCUUCUGAGUGCCAGCCGUUUCUCUGAGUGGCUUGUCAGGGCAGUCACUGUCUGGGCCACAUCCUUGGGCGGAUGUGACUGGUAAGUUUCAUCAGUGUGGAGGGAUUGAAAAGCUCUGUCCAGCCCCAGCUGGUUUCCUGUGAGCCUGCCAGAAGUCGCUGGGCAGCCUUAGGUGCUGUGCCUGCCCAGAAGUUUCUUCUCGGCUGCCACGCCCUGGUCCUGUUAGCUCAGAGGCUGUAGGCGUGUGCAGACUGUCUCUCUAUCCUCCCCUCAUGUGAGGGCUGCUCAGUAUGGCUCUUCCCAUGGCCCUCUCCCCACCUCCUGGAAGGAGUGCCACUUAGCUAGCUAGCGUCCUUCCCGGCCACCCCUCAGUUUCAAGUGAGGAGGAAAUUAUCCAUGAGCCUAAGGAUCAGAAUCACACAGAAUUCCAUAGGUUAGGUAUAAAAAUGCCACAGAUUGUCCUAAAAAAGAAAUCACCUGAGAGAAUGCGAGGCUGCCAACUUUCAAGAGGAAUGCUGUGCAAGCUGAGUCCACUCGUGGAUUGUGGCAUCGGAAACACAAUCUCUACUUGGGACAAACAAUUGGUGUGCUUUGGCUCCGGAUGAUCAAGUAUCUGUUACCUCAAAUCUAGGAACAGUGCCAGUCUGAGGCUCCUGGGUGAGCCAGAGAACCAGACACAGGCAGGCUACCUUGCUCCCUGCACCUCAGCCAGCAUCACUGUGGCUGGACGAUGUUGCUUUACUGUGCGUCUGGAGUGGGAGAGACCCUGGGUCAGCUGUACAUCCCGAAAUAUCAGGGGGCCCAGGGCUCAAGACCAGAGGAGGGAUAACGGGUGUUCAUCCUGUGAGAUGUGUCUGAGUAGCUCGCUUUACAGACAGACCUGUGGUUACGUAGAUUUGCGAGGCGGUGCAGGGAAGGAUGUCUACAUAAGGGCCUGACUGAUGAGACAUUUGCUUAGGAGCCACAGGCUCAGAACCAAAUAGAACUGAGUUGGGGUCAGCAGUGGUCUGGGGCCAGCUCAGACUGGAGGAGCCUCCCUUCCAGCUCUGCCUGGGACAUCAGAAACCAUUCACACUUCCGGAAAUGGCCAGCGCUUCAGAGCAGGCUUACUUGUUUCCUUCCUACCUUGGGUUUGCCACACAGCACUGGUUUGAGUCAACUCCCUAGACCUCAGGCCCUAUCUGCAGCUACGUGAUCUUGGGCAGAUUUCCUGUGCCAGAGUUUGGUUUCCUGCUCUGUAAAGAGGGCAUGGUUACCCACCUCCUCCACGGACUGACUCUGGGUGCUCUAUGUCACUUAUAAUGCCACGUACUAUCACCACCCUCCGUGUCCCCUGAAACUACUGCUCGAUCUGACUAUCCUGCACUUUACCCAGUGGCCCCCAGCUGCCUUUCUAACUUUACCUGUUCACAUAACCCUGCCCAUCUCGGCACCCAAGCGGAAACCGGGAGAUCCUGCUCUGAACCUGAGCUCCAGUCACAUGGCAUCUGGAGUACCCCCUCCUCCUGCUGGGCUUGGCCAGUACCAGCCUCAGACCAAGGUUCCUUCCUCCUUGUCAUAGCAGGUUCUAGGUUUUAGCUGCAAAUGCCAAAUCUUCACUUCCCUGUGCCCUAGUUAGCACAGUGCACUGGGCAGGAGCAGGAUGCAGUCAUUCUAGAGACCCAAGAGGGAUGUGUGACCUUGGAAUCACUCUGAUUAUGAGUCCCAGCAGCUUGAGAUGCAUUUCCGCUUGAGACAGGUUCUCAGUCGGCCUCCUGGAUUCACCAGCACUACAGGUCCAUUAUCCUCAUGGUGGAAAACGUGGCGGCAUGCAGGUAGACGUGGUGCUGGACUGGUAUCCAUCAGGAAAAUAGUGACACUGGGUCUGGCUUCAGAAUCUGAACCAUCAGAGCCCAGCCUCAGUGACAUACUUCCUCCAAUAAGGCCACACUUCCCAAUAGUGCCACUCCCUCCGAGCCUAUAGGGGACCAUUUUCAUGUGAACCACCAUGCACUGUGAAGUGAUUUUGAUUUCCUUUCCUUUCCUUUCCUUUCCUUUCCUUUCACUUCCUUUCCUUUCCUUUCACUUCCUUUCCUUUCCUUUCCUUUCCUUUCCUUUCUUCUCCUCUCCUGUCCUCUCCUCUCCUCUCCUCUCCUCUCCUCUCCUCCCCUCCCCUUUCCUUUCCUCCUUCCCUCCUUUCUUUCUUUUCUUCCUUCCUUUCUUCCAUCCCAAAGGCUGCAUCCCCCUUCUGGCCCCUCCCUUACAAAGUCCCUCCCUUUCCCCCCUCCUCUCGAUUUGUUUGUCAACGAUCAGGUAUUCGCUAUCUUGCGCUGCCCUCAUUGGUAGUUUGCAGAUCUCUGGAGAGCCAUCUCCUCAGUCUUUGCCCACUCUUAUACCAGGGAGUGUCACUGUUUGUCACAUCCAGGACUGUUGGCUUGUUUUUCAGAUAAGGCCUUGCUAUGUAGCCUAUGUUGGCCUUGAACUCCGGCACUUCCUCUGCCUCAGCCACAAGUGAUGUUGAUGGAAGGCACUGUGAGAAACCACUGGCUAGGAGAACGCAUUCCUCCUACGGGGGACCCUGGCCCGUUUUCCAGCUCAGCUCAGCUCCUUCCGGCAUGGGUUUUCUGCCUAGGCAAAUUUGUUUUUCUUUACAUUUAUUUAGCCCAUGUGUUGAGGGUAGGGUGGCAGUGCGUGCCUUGGCACAUGCGUGUGUAGGUCAAAAGACAGAACAGGAGUCUGUUCUCUCCUUCUACCGUGUGGGUUCUGGGGAUCAAACUCAAGCCCUCAAGUUUGGUCACAAGCUUCUUUAUUCACUGAGCCAUGUCCAUAUGCCCUGUUCUGGGCUUUUUGUACAGCCUGGGCUAAAUACAGCAGUCAGACUCUCAGCUUCCAGAAAUAACUGCUGGGAUCUGCCCUCUUGGUACCUUGAACGUGCUGGCCCAGGUUAACUCAAAGCCCAGUCUCCGGGAACCAUUGGUCAGCCCGAGGAGCAGCAUGUCACCGGAGUGUGUAAGUCCACCGUGACGAGGGGUGGAUGAGAGAGAUGCGUCUGCUUGGCUUGACAAGCUGGCCUGAUGUAAGCAUGGGUAGUCAUGACAGCAAAGGCCAUCUGGCACAAAGAACUGGACGGUUAACACCCAGAUAAAAGGCAAGUCAAGAUAAGGAGCGUAAAGAGAGAACGGUGCCAUCACUUGUGUCCCUGGAUCCAGCCAUUCCUGAAACCAGACAGCUCUGAGAUGUAAACUAAGAGGGCUGCUCUCUCUUUCUCCUUCUCUCUUCCCCGCACCUCCUCUGUUCAGGCUCUGGUUUGAAUCAGUUUCUGUCACUGGCAGCAGAGAACAUUGUGACUAAAGCAUGUCUUCCUCCUUAGUUCUCUAUCUGUCCCCCAUGUGGUUAUCUUCCUGCCCAUCCACUUUUGACCCCAACGGUUCCUACUUCUCUUUCCUCAUGUCCACUUGGAGAACAGUGGCACCCUCUAGGGACACAGUGGGCAGAGUUUCCACAUGUCCUUAUUCCCAUAGUUCCUGCUUUGGACCUGGAUCUGCACCUUGGGUGAUAGGUGAAUUUAAGAGAACAGACAUACUUUGCUAGCUGGUGUGAGCUGGUCUGGUCAGAGGGACAGCCAGGAGCUCCUUUGCUGUCCAGGCCCCCGGAGCAGCGUCAGCAUCCUCUUCCGCCCACACUCUCAGGCAGUAGAGCCGGGGCUGUGCAGGCAGGUGAAGGAAUACUUGAUUCCCAGAGGCUUCCAGAGGGGAGGAGGGGAAAGGUGAGUAAUCUGGGACAAUCGACCUGGUGUCUUGGUAAUCUGGUGUGCCUCUUUUCCUUCACAGCUGUGUUCUCCCUAGAGGGGUUUCACCCCCGCCUCAGGAAGAGGAAGCCGCCUCCAAGUGUCAUAGAGGGUCAAACAGUCCCAUGGGAGCCGCUCUUGUGGAGGAGGAAACCAAAGUACACAUCGAGGCCCCGGGUGACACAAUCAAUGAGGACUGAGAAUCAAGCGAUGACAAACUAGCUCCAGAGCCCAAAGAUCACAUGGCCACAGCACAGAGCCUCUCAGCAUUGUGGAGUGACAGAUGCAUGCUGAGGCCACCUUAAGGAGUUCGUGGGUGCCAGAGAGGCUGGGGGUGGAGCAGGGCCUCCAAAGCCAAUAGACCUGGACCACAGGUGGCUCUGGCCAACUGCUCUGGGUCUGUCAGCGUUGGCUGUUGUGUCUGUGACACAGAAACAUAAGCUCCGAGGAUACUGAGGACUGCCGAGCUCCAUCACAUUCAAGAACAGCAGUGGCUAUGACCUCUCUGGCUUUCCGGGAUGCAGAGGGGAUCUGACACAGACCGUGAACACACAUGGAUGGAGUCCGAGGAACUACUGUGUUUGGUUUCCCCUGGAGACUCCCUCUGAGUUCCAGAGGGCUGCCCGGAAACACAUCAUCUUCAGGGCCAGGUCCCUAUUUAUGAAAACCCAACCUGUCUGGCCAAA